This 791-nucleotide ribosomal RNA is filed under the name uncultured archaeon. RNAcentral describes it as "bacterial SSU rRNA". It matches the Rfam family "Archaeal small subunit ribosomal RNA", at positions 85 to 879 of the family's 1478-position model. The record is from RNAcentral.
ACGGCUCAGUAACACGUAGUCAACAUGCCCAGGGGACGAGGAUAACCUCGGGAAACUGAGGAUAAACCUCGAUAGGCCAUGAUUUCUGGAAUGAUUCUUGGCUCAAACCUAUAUGGCCCCUGGAUUGGACUGCGGCCGAUCAGGCUGUUGGUGAGGUAAUGGCCCACCAAACCUAUUACCGGUACGGGCUCUGAGAGGAGGAGCCCGGAGAUGGGCACUGAGACAAGGGCCCAGGCCCUAUGGGGCGCAGCAGGCGCGAAACCUCUGCAAUAGGCGAAAGCUUGACAGGGUUACUCUGAGUGAUUUCCGCUAAGGGAAUCUUUUGGCACCUCUAAAAAUGGUGCAGAAUAAGGGGUGGGCAAGUCUGGUGUCAGCCGCCGCGGUAAUACCAGCACCCCGAGUGGUCGGGACGAUUAUUGGGCCUAAAGCAUCCGUAGCCGGUCCUGCAAGUCUUCCGUUAAAUCCAGCUGCUCAACAGAUGGGCUGCGGGAGAUACUACAGGGCUAGGAGGCGGGAGAGGCAAGCGGUACUUUAUGGGUAGGGGUAAAAUCCGCUGAUCCAUAGAAGACCACCAGUGGCGAAGGCGGCUUGCCAGAACGCGCUCGACGGUGAGGGAUGAAAGCUGGGGGAGCAAACCGGAUUAGAUACCCGGGUAGUCCCAGCUGUAAACGAUGCAGACUCGGUGAUGGGUUGGCCUCGCGCCUGCCCAGUGCCGCAGGGAAGCCGUUAAGUCUGCCGCCUGGGGAGUACGGUCGCGAGACUGAAACUUAAAGGAAUUGGCGGGGGAGCAC